This 253-nucleotide ribosomal RNA is filed under the name uncultured bacterium. RNAcentral's name for it is "partial 16S ribosomal RNA". It matches the Rfam family "Bacterial small subunit ribosomal RNA", at positions 524 to 776 of the family's 1533-position model. The record is from RNAcentral.
UACGAAGGUGGCGAACGAUGCUCGGAUUCACUGGGCGUAAAGGGAUUGUAGGCGGCUUUUUAAGUCAGAUGUGAAAGCCCGGGGCUUAACCCCGGAAUUGCAUUUGAAACUGGAAAGCUAGAGUAAAGCAGAGGAGAAUGGAAUUCCCAGUGUAGAGGUGAAAUUCGUAGAUAUUGGGAGGAACACCAGAAGCGAAGGCGAUUCUCUGGGCUUUUACUGACGCUGAGGAUCGGAAGCGUGGGUAGCAAACAGG